UGCCCCUUCGCCAAGCGGUAAGGCACCAGACUUUGACUCUGGCAUGCGUUGGUUCGAAUCCAGCAGGGGCAACCA
This 75-nucleotide transfer RNA is filed under the name Ruminococcaceae bacterium OttesenSCG-928-A11. Its description in RNAcentral is "tRNA-Gln". It matches the Rfam family "tRNA". Rfam says of the family: Transfer RNA (tRNA) molecules are approximately 80 nucleotides in length. Their secondary structure includes four short double-helical elements and three loops (D, anti-codon, and T loops). The record is from RNAcentral. Lineage: Bacteria; Bacillati; Bacillota; Clostridia; Eubacteriales; Oscillospiraceae.